RNAcentral lists this long non-coding RNA (313 nucleotides) under Homo sapiens (human). RNAcentral describes it as "non-protein coding ZNF426-DT:15". Lineage: Eukaryota; Metazoa; Chordata; Mammalia; Primates; Hominidae. The record is from RNAcentral.
GCCGUGUAAUACCUCCUCGAGGCAGAAAAAUUCUACUUUCCAUCUGCUUGGCUGCGGAGGACCUUGGGGUGGGCUCAGCGUGGGGGCUGCAGGCAGAAAUGGGUCCAGAAGGCAAGGUCGAGGUUAGAGCCAAGCCUGUGGGCAGGGCUACGGGCAGGGGGCGGGGAGGAAUGUGGGUCCAGGCCCAGAGGAAAAGGUUGAAGUUAUAGCCAGGCCUGUGGGCGAGGCCGCAGCAGGGCGGCCAUAGGGGAAGGAGCCAAUGUGUUAUGCAUGUAGAAAAUAGACAAAAUCUCACUCUGUCACCAAGGCUGGA